AUGAACGCUAGCGGCAGGCUUAACACAUGCAAGUCGAGGGGCAGCAUGAUCGAACUUUCGGGUUUGAUUGAUGGCGACCGGCGCAAGGGUGCGUAACGCGUGAGCAACUUGCCCUCAUCAGGGGAAUAACCGUUGGAAACGACGACUAAUACCCCAUAGCACAUAUUUAAGGCAUCUUUUAUAUGUUAAAGAAUUUCGGAUGAGGAUAGGCUCGCGUGACAUUAGCUAGAUGGCGGGGUAACGGCCCACCAUGGCGACGAUGUCUAGGGGUUCUGAGAGGAAGGUCCCCCACACUGGAACUGAGACACGGUCCAGACUCCUACGGGAGGCAGCAGUGAGGAAUAUUGGUCAAUGGUCUGACGACUGAACCAGCCAUGCCGCGUGAAGGUCACGGCCCUAUGGGUCUUAAACUUCUUUUGUAAGGGAGCAAUAAGUCUCACGUGUGGGAUGAUGAGAGUACCUUACGAAUAAGCAUCGGCUAACUCCGUG
Molecule: ribosomal RNA, 489 nt
Filed under: uncultured bacterium
Lineage: Bacteria
Description: bacterial SSU rRNA
Rfam family: Bacterial small subunit ribosomal RNA
Source: RNAcentral